AUUGAACGCUGGCGGCAGGCCUAACACAUGCAAGUCGAGCGGAUGAAGGGAGCUUGCUCCUGGAUUCAGCGGCGGACGGGUGAGUAAUGCCUAGGAAUCUGCCUGGCAGUGGGGGAUAACGUCCGGAAACGGGCGCUAAUACCGCAUACGUCCUGAGGGUGAAAGUGGGGGUUCUUCGGACCUCACGCUAUCAGAUGAGCCUAGGUCGGAUUAGCUAGUUGGUGGGGUAAAGGCCUACCAAGGCGACGAUCCGUAACUGGUCUGAGAGGAUGAUCAGUCACACUGGAACUGAGACACGGUCCAGACUCCUACGGGAGGCAGCAGUAGGGAAUAUUGGACAAUGGGCGAAAGCCUGAUCCAGCCAUGCCGCGUGUGUGAAGAAGGUCUUCGGAUUGUAAAGCACUUUAAGUUGGGAGGAAGGGCAGUAAGUUAAUACCUUGCUGUUUUGACGUUACCAACAGAAUAAGCACCGGCUAACUUCGUG
This 484-nucleotide ribosomal RNA is filed under the name uncultured bacterium. Its description in RNAcentral is "partial 16S ribosomal RNA". It matches the Rfam family "Bacterial small subunit ribosomal RNA", at positions 30 to 507 of the family's 1533-position model. The record is from RNAcentral.